GCGUUGUCUGUUGUGUGGUGCGGUGGGUGUGUGCCUUCUCGGACAAGGUAUUUAGGGUCAUGGGUAAACAGGACUCCCGAAGCUAUACCCAGUCUCCUUCCAACUGCCCAAUAGACUUUGUCCCCGUGGUGAGCCUGGCUGUGUUUGCCUUUCCUCGGGCGCGGCGUUGAUACGAAGCGAGGUUCGUGAACCUCUGGGCGCUCACUUGGCUUAUGCAUAAUACCCCCGGUGGCUGGAGGACGAAAACUCGAGCUCUCCUGUGUAAGGACUUUCUCGGCCCCUUUGGAAUGCUGGAAUGCUUACUUGGGAAGGUUCGCAUCAACUACAUGUUUAGAUAAGGAGUCUUGCGUUCACGGCCCCAGCACCCGCCAGCAAUUUGUGUGCUGCUCACGACACCAGUGAGAGGGACGGAGAGAAAUCUGCCACCACGUCGACAUUAACGAGAGAGUGAAAGUGGAAGGCAGCGCUGAGCUGCCUGUCGCGGGGAGGCACAAUGCAGACAGCUGGUGGUGGUGGUGGCGGAGACGUAGCGGCCACCCAGCAGGAGACACACAAAGGGACUGACCCACCACGUGUCGCGCUGCUGUUGCUGCUACUGAAGGCUGUGAUGACUGACAGGGGACGGGAAGGGUCGACAGGAAGACGCCCAUUAUGAGUACAUUAUUCUGUAUCAUGUUUUGUAUGAAUAGGACUGUAUUAAAUUUUGUGCGCGCGUAUACACACACACACACACACACACACACACACACACACACACACACACACACACACACA
Molecule: long non-coding RNA, 774 nt
Organism: Scylla paramamosain (green mud crab)
Lineage: Eukaryota; Metazoa; Arthropoda; Malacostraca; Decapoda; Portunidae
Exons: 6
Source: RefSeq, a predicted model, not a curated record